RNAcentral lists this ribosomal RNA (441 nucleotides) under uncultured bacterium. RNAcentral describes it as "partial 16S ribosomal RNA". It matches the Rfam family "Bacterial small subunit ribosomal RNA", at positions 338 to 795 of the family's 1533-position model. The record is from RNAcentral.
CCUACGGGUGGCAGCAGUGGGGAAUAUUGCACAAUGGGGGAAACCCUGAUGCAGCAACGCCGCGUGAAGGAAGACGGUUUUCGGAUUGUAAACCUCUGUUCUUAGUGAAGAAUAAUGACGGUAGCUAAGGAGCAAGCCACGGCCAACUACGUGCCAGCAGCCGCGGUAAUACGUAGGUGGCAAGCGUUGUCCGGAAUUACUGGGUGUAAAGGGAGCGCAGGCGGGAAGCCAAGUCAGCUGAGAAAACUACGGGCUUAACUUGUAGACUGCAGUUGAAACUGGUUUUCUUGAGUGAAGUAGAGGUUGGCGGAAUGCGGGGUGUAGCGGUGAAAUGCGUAGAUAUUCGGCAGAACACCGGUGGCGAAGGCAGCAAACUGGGCUUUAACUGACGCUGAGGCUCGAAAGUGUGGGGAGCGAACAGGAUUAGAUACCCUAGUAGUC